Oryctolagus cuniculus (rabbit) is the source of this 1530-nucleotide non-coding RNA. The record is from RefSeq and is a predicted model, not a curated record. Lineage: Eukaryota; Metazoa; Chordata; Mammalia; Lagomorpha; Leporidae.
CUUCUCUGCUCCUGCCUAGCUCCCACAGGCAGGAUGAGCACCGCUGGGUCUCGAGCGGGAGCUGCAGGGAGUGAAAAGUCGACCGGAAUUUUAUACAAGAAAAUUGGGAAGAUUGUGUUAGCCUCUCUGGCUGCCAAACCUGCAAGAUGUAAAUUGGCGGAAUCUGGAGCAGGUAUAUUUUCUAUAAUUGGAGGAAGCCACACUGCCAUCUUCUUCUCCAUUUAUCUAAAUCCCAGGCAUUCCUCAAGGCUUAGCAGAGGCUUUGCCUUAUAAGUUUAUCCUUGGUCUCCUCAUCUGGAAUGCCUUACACCUUCUGCCUAAGGCCUGGCUUUUCUGCCCUUCAAAGUAUAUUUUUUCUGUCGCUAGAAAUUGAGAAAGAAUGAAUAUACCCAAAGCAACUUUCAACCAACAAUGGACGACAACCAGUGGAUGCAAGCAAAGGAGGCUCCUGAUCGGUGACAACUGACUGAACACCAAAAAGGAAACCUCCUGAAGUGAAAUGGACACUAUGAGAAAUGGUGACUUGAUCAGCAUAGCCCUGACUGCUAAUGGACAACUUAAUACAUUAUCCCUCUUAGUAUUUUUUUUUUGUCUGUUCUACUUAAUAUGACUGGUUUAAUUCUGUAAUUAUCACACAGUUAUUCUUAAGUGUUGAAAAUUAACUGAAAUGUGAUCCCUGUUAAACAUAAGAGUGGGAAUAAGAGAGGGAAGAGAUGUAUAAUUUGGGGCAUGCUCGGGCUGACUUGCCCCAAUUGGUAGAGUUGGAAACAUACCAGGGGAUUCCAAUUCAAUCCCAUCAAGGUGGCAUGUGCCAAUGCCAUCUCACUAUUCCAAGUGAUCAAUUUCAGUUCACAAUUGAUCAUAAUGAAAGGACUAAGAGUCAAAUGGAGCACAUAAACAAGUCUAGUAUCUGCUAACACUAACCGAUAGAAUAAAUAAAGGGGAGAGUGAUCCAACAUGGGAAGUGAGAUACUCAGCAGACUCAUAGAAUGGCAGAUGUCCUAAAUAGCACUCUGGCCUCAGAAUCAGCCCUGAAGGCACUCGGAUCUGGCUGAAAAGCCCAUGAGAGUAUUUCAGGCAUGGAAAGCCAAGACACUCUGGCAAAAAGAUCUCUGUGAGUGAGAUCCCAGUGGAAAGAACAGGUCUUCAAAGAGGGAGGUGCCUUUCUCUGAAGGGAGGAGAGAACCUCCACUUUGACUAUGACCGUGUCUAAACAAGAUAAGAGUCGGAGAACUCAAGGGGCUUCCAUAGCCUUGGAAACUCAUGACUGGUGCAUAGGGAGAUUACUGAUGCCAUAAACAGGAGUGUCAAUUUGUAAAAUCAACAACAGGAGUCACUGUGCACUUACUCCUCAUGUAGGAUCUCUGUCCUUAAUGUGCUGUACACUGAGACUUAAUGCUAUAACGAGUACUCAAACAGUAUAUUUCGCUUUGUGUUUCUAUGGGGGUGCAAACGAUUGAAAUCUUUACUUAAUGUACACUAAACUGAUCUUCUGUAAAAAAAAAAAAAAAAAAAAAAAAAAAAAAGAAA